Molecule: unclassified non-coding RNA, 313 nt
Filed under: Hevea brasiliensis (rubber tree)
Lineage: Eukaryota; Viridiplantae; Streptophyta; Magnoliopsida; Malpighiales; Euphorbiaceae
Source: RNAcentral
UGAAGUUGAAGUGAAAUCUGAUAAUUAUUCUGAAUGUAAAAAAUAAAGAAAUUGCAGCAUUUGCAUUUGCAGUAGAUGAAAGUGCAACCGCAACAGAUUCUAUGUUGGGUCCCUUAUUUCCUUUGAUGAGGGAGGGAAAGGUAGUGUGGGGAUGGACUGGGAACUCUGGACACUCACCAGUGGUUUAUUUGAGUCUUAUACGAGGUCAAAAAUGGAAUUUAAAUGAUACGCUCUCACAACAAUAGCACCAAACACCAAUCUAGCACGGUUGUAUUAUUAAUCCUUACCCACUUUCAGUAAUACUAUCUUCUCG